UCGAGGGGUAUAGGUUUUCGGACCUAGAGACCGGCGCACGGGUGCGUAACGCGUAUGCAAUCUACCUUUUACAGAGGGAUAGCCCAGAGAAAUUUGGAUUAAUACCUCAUAGUAUUACGACUCGGCAUCGAGAUGUAAUUAAAGUCACAACGGUAAAAGAUGAGCAUGCGUCCCAUUAGUUUGUUGGUAAGGUAACGGCUUACCAAGACUACGAUGGGUAGGGGUCCUGAGAGGGAGAUCCCCCACACUGGUACUGAGACACGGACCAGACUCCUACGGGAGGCAGCAGUGAGGAAUAUUGGUCAAUGGGCGCAAGCCUGAACCAGCCAUGCCGCGUGCAGGAUGAAGCAUCUAUGGUGUGUAAACUGCUUUUGUACGAGAAGAAACACUGCUACGUGUAGCAGCUUGACGGUAUCGUAAGAAUAAGGACCGGCUAACUCCGUGCCAGCAGCCGCGGUAAUACGGAGGGUCCAAGCGUUAUCCGGAAUCAUUGGGUUUAAAGGGUCCGUAGGCGGUUUUGUAAGUCAGUGGUGAAAGCCCAUCGCUCAACGGUGGAACGGCCAUUGAUACUGCAAGACUUGAAUUAUUGGGAAGUAACUAGAAUAUGUAGUGUAGCGGUGAAAUGCUUAGAGAUUACAUGGAAUACCAAUUGCGAAGGCAGGUUACUACCAAUAUAUUGACGCUGA
Molecule: ribosomal RNA, 686 nt
Filed under: uncultured Bacteroidota bacterium
Lineage: Bacteria; Pseudomonadati; Bacteroidota
Description: bacterial SSU rRNA
Rfam family: Bacterial small subunit ribosomal RNA
Source: RNAcentral